AAUAGAUACCCGGGUAGUCCACGCCGUAAAACGAUGGAUGCUAGCCGUUGUCGGGUUUACUCGUCAGUGGCGCAGCUAACGCAUUAAGCAUCCCGCCUGGGGAGUACGGUCGCAAGAUUAAAACUCAAAGGAAUUGACGGGGGCCCGCACAAGCGGUGGAGCAUGUGGUUCAAUUCGAAGCAACGCGCAGAACCUUACCAGCUCUAGACUACACGGUCGCGAGCACCAGAGAUGGAGCUCUUCAGUUCGGCUGGACCGUGUUCAGGUGCUGCAUGGCUGUCGUCAGCCCGUGUCGUGAGAUGUUGGGUUAAGUCCCGCAACGAGCGCAACCCUCGCCCUUAGCUGCCAUCAUUCAGUUGGGCACUCUAAGGGGACUGCCGGUGAUAAGCCGCGAGGAAGUGGGAUGACGUCAAGUCCUCAUGGCCCUUACGGGCUGGGCUACACACGUGCUACAAUGGCGGUGACAGUGGACGCAAUGGGGCAACCUGCGCAAAUCUCAAAAAGCCGUCUCUACG
RNAcentral lists this ribosomal RNA (515 nucleotides) under uncultured bacterium. RNAcentral describes it as "bacterial SSU rRNA". It matches the Rfam family "Bacterial small subunit ribosomal RNA", at positions 777 to 1293 of the family's 1533-position model. The record is from RNAcentral.